ACACNUGCAAGUCGAGCGGGGUGAUGUAGCUUGCUACAUUACCUAGCGGCGGACGGGUGAGUCAUGCUUAGGAAUCUGCCUAUUAGUGGGGGACAACAUUCCGAAAGGAAUGCUAAUACCGCAUACGCCCUACGGGGGAAAGCAGGGGAUCUUCGGACCUUGCGCUAAUAGAUGAGCCUAAGUCAGAUUAGCUAGUUGGUGGGGUAAAGGCCUACCAAGGCGACGAUCUGUAGCGGGUCUGAGAGGAUGAUCCGCCACACUGGGACUGAGACACGGCCCAGACUCCUACGGGAGGCAGCAGUGGGGAAUAUUGGACAAUGGGCGAAAGCCUGAUCCAGCCAUGCCGCGUGUGUGAAGAAGGCCUUUUGGUUGUAAAGCACUUUAAGCGAGGAGGAGGCUACUUAGAUUAAUACUCUAGGAUAGUGGACGUUACUCGCAGAAUAAGCACCUGCUAACUCUGUGCCAGCAGCCGCGGUAAUACNNAGGGCGCCGAGCGUUAAUCGGAUUUACUGGGCGUAAAGCGUGCGUAGGCGGCUUCUUAAGUCGGAUGUGAAAUCCCUGAGCUUAACUUAGGAAUUGCAUUUCGAUACUGGGAAGCUAGAGUAUUGGGAGAGGAUGGGUAGAAUUCCAGGUGUAGCGGUGAAAAUGCGUAGAGAUCUGGAGGAAUACCGAUGGCGAAGCAGCCAUCUGGCCUAAUACUUGACGCUUAAGCUACGAAAGCAUGGGGAGCAAACAAGAUUAAAUACCCUGGAGUCCAUGCCCUAAAAGAUGUCUACUAGCCGUUGGGGCUCUUGACGCUUUCCCGGCCCUACCUACGCGAUAACUAGACGCCCUGGGGAGUACGUCGCUAGACUAAAACUCCAAUGAAUUGACG
Molecule: ribosomal RNA, 874 nt
Filed under: uncultured bacterium
Lineage: Bacteria
Description: bacterial SSU rRNA
Rfam family: Bacterial small subunit ribosomal RNA
Source: RNAcentral